CUCUGGCAGUGUGGAAUCCUGGCUGUGUUUAAUUGGCGAGUGGCAGGCGGGCUUGGGAGACAGAGCAGGAGUGUGCGAGAUCUAAGGAAGCAAUUGGGACUCACAUGGAGAGGCAACUGCUCUCACUGGCUUUAUGAGCCGCGACUUUGACUUUCUGAAAGAGAGAGAAAGAGACAGGGAAAGGGAGGCAGAAACUCAACAGAGAGGCGGAGAACCAGUGAGCUAGAGUUUGGGAGGGGGGGUGAACUGACUCAGAGAAUUUUUUUUGAACAGAGAAGGGUUAAGGAUAUGGAAAGAAAGGCAGGGAGUGAUAGAGAGAGGAAAUGACAGAAGGAGCAACAAAGUGCAAACAGAAUGAAGGAUAGGUACAGGAAAGCCUGCAAUGGAGUGAGAGAAUAGGGUGGGGGGGGUGAGAGAGGUGGGAGAGAAAGAGGCCCACUGCUGGAGAGAGGGCAACAGCACUGACUGCAUACGGGAAAUGACAGAAGUUGAGGAGAGAGAGGGAGAGAGGGAAAGAGAAAGAGAGAAAAGAGGGAAAACAAGGGGAAGUUAGAAAAGGAAGGAAGGGGGAGGUGAGUCUUGGAAGGGAGAGAGAGAAAAGUGGUAGAGAAGAAGUUGAAAGAAACAGCACGUGAGGAAUGGGAACAGAAUGGGGAAAAAAGAGAGAAAGACGGUAGAGAAGUGAGAGAAAAAGACCUACGCAGAUGAGAAAAACAGCCUUAGUGAAUGGCCUGGGUGGGGAAAGAGAGAGGAGGUAACUGGUUGUUUUGUAAGUCGUCAGCCUGGGCAGCUUUUAGUCUCCUACUGCUAUGCACUCAGAGAAGGCGGCAAAAGGACAGCAUGCCCUCCAUCCAGCCCAGGACUACUGCCACCUCUGCUUACAACCGGGACCAGCUUUAACACAUCACAGGCAGCAGCUCAGUGAUGUGCAAUGCCCACCACUGGAGCCUGGUCUAAGGUCACACGUGUGGAGGGAGGACUUGUCUCUACCCUUUCCUCUUGAUCUGGAAGCACUUGAGGACAGGACGGGUAACCAUAACCAUCAUGACCUGCAGAGACGGCAGGCUUACUUGGGACCAAGCCAACACUACGCUGUUUCUGAAAGGUGCAGCCCACCAUGCUAUUUGUGGAGGGAGAUGAGAGUUCCUGGAUGGGACCCUCGGUUUCCUCCGUCCACAUGUGUGUGGGAGAGUUCAGCACUGGCACAUCACGGGCAGGAGGUCGCUGAUGGGAGAUUGGCAGGCAGGCUUGGGAGACAUAGUAACUGCUGCUCUGAGAGGGAAUGGUACCAUCAUCAGCUGCCACACCCCCUCAAUGGUGGCCCCAUGCUGGCAAAGGUCAGGAGCCAGCGGUACUACAGGGAAGCUCGGAAUGUUUCAGAGGAGCAUCACUUGGACUGCGUGAGUGAGAACUUUCACCAGAAUACACAUCUACCUGAACUAGAAUGGGACAAUAGGCCUAAAUUUGGAUACAAUGGGCACUGUGAAAGGAGGCAUGUCACUUUUGAGGGUCAUGAUGACGGACACAGCAUAGAGAAUAAUGGACCAGCCAGUGCUAUCAAGAACCACUGUAAUGGAGCUAAGGCAUUCUUUUCCACUGAAGUUCCCCAGAGCAAAUUUACAGUCUCCAAGAAAACAGGACCUAAGCUGAGUGGAAUCCAUUGUGGAGAGACUGACCUGAGUCAAGCAGACAGGUCAGAGGUUGGGGGAAGCCAGAGUAACCACAGGAAGAACCAGGGAACUGUGCGCGAGCAGAUCAAACAAGUGGUGACGGAGUUAGAGGAUGUGCUCACGGGUCUCAAACAGGUUCAAAUGGAGAUGAAAGAGGUGGUCCAACAGAUUGAUGUUCUGACUUCCAACAUCGACCUGGGAGAGGAGGAGCAAGGACCAUUCAAUGGUCUGCCACAGGAAUCCACGCACCAUGCCAACCGUAUUGGAGUUGUUGCACUUGUCCAUAAUGUCAACAGAGAUGCAGAAUCACCAGAAAGAGACAGCACACAUGCUGGUGUCAGACCACAGCGCACUCGUUCCCUGUCGAACCAUAGCUUGACUGCUGUGAUUUCCACUCGCCCUGACAAUCAUCCUGCCCGGGAGAUCCACACGAACCUAGCGUCCCGUGCUAACGGUCUGAUGACUGUUGAGUCUGCAGACAGUAGCCAGAUGAAUCAUACAUCUGCUCUGGAGCUUCAGAAGACGAAGAGCACUGCCAAUGGCGACUGCCUGCGCGCCAGACCUCCCAGAGCCAAAGUCAAAGAGCUCCAGCAUCCAAGAAGCAGAACAGACCAUACAAAAAAUCCUGACCCCCCUUACCCUUUAGCACCAAUUAGCUCAGUUAAAACUAAAAGACCGCCACCGUACCCACAGAAUGGACUGGUCAAAGGACCCCCAAAGGAUUCAAAUGUCCUGAAGACGCCUCCUUACCCUGGAAAACAGAAACAGCUAACCUCCACCAUGGUGUAAAGGUGGGGUGACAGGGGAAGUUCCACUGCCUCAGGGCUCUGAUUGCACUUAUGAGGACAACACACACCCACACACACAGACACACAAAGAACGUAAAUAGGAUGUUUUCUCCCUCAGCAUCCACAUGGUUAGGUAACACAGGGGAUGUCAUAAAGAAGAGACACGUCUAAUAGCAGUGCAAGGACUUCUUACAAGGAUUGAGAGUAUUUCCUAUGGAAAGCAAGCACUAGAAAUGGUCCUUCUCUCUCUCUCUCUCUCUCUCUCUCUCUCUCUCCAACCCUGACUGCCCUACAUCCAUCCGAACAAGCUGCCCAUUUUAGCCAUACUGGUCAUCCAGCCUCUGAUUCUUUGCCCCUUAAAGGUAGCACUACAGAGGAAUAAGCUGCUCCUCAACUGGAAAAAAUAAGUCUAGACUCGCAAAUAUUAUGCAACAUAUUCCCAAAGCUUGCCUGGGAUUCGAAGUCUGUGAGUGGACUGUCCAGAAGACCAAAGAGAAUUGAAAGUCUUUUAUUAUAUCCUUUUGUUAUUGGUUCAAACGUUUAAGAACAAAAAGCUACAGUGUAAGAGGAUUAUAUCCAUCCUGUGUUUCUGCAUCAGUCUGAAAACCGUACACAUUAUAUUGCGAUUAGUUCAUGAGUUAUUUAAAGCCAAUAUAAGGCAUUUAGUUUUGUAUUUAAGCUGUACCAUUGAUAUAUGCUGUCCAGAAGAGGGCGCUACAGGCCAUAAAAGUGUCCCUGAACUUAUAU
RNA transcript from Hemibagrus wyckioides, 3205 nucleotides. RefSeq lists it as uncharacterized. NCBI's taxonomy places the organism in Eukaryota, Metazoa, Chordata, Actinopteri, Siluriformes, Bagridae. The record is from RefSeq and is a predicted model, not a curated record. The transcript is spliced from 3 exons.